Molecule: ribosomal RNA, 292 nt
Filed under: uncultured bacterium
Lineage: Bacteria
Description: partial 16S ribosomal RNA
Rfam family: Bacterial small subunit ribosomal RNA
Source: RNAcentral
GUGCUUAACACAUGCAAGUCGAGUGCGCGGUUGUAGCAAUACAACUGGCGCACGGCGCACGGGUGCGUAACACGUGGGCAAUCUGCCCUUCGAUGGGGAAUAACUCCGGGAAACCGAAGCUAAUUCCGCAUAAUAUUCCUUGGACUCCGGUUUGAGGAUUCAAAGCAGCAAUGCGUCGAAGGAGGAGUCCGCGCCCGAUUAGCUAGUUGGCAGGGUAACGGCCUACCAAGGCAAUGAUCGGUAGCUGGUCUGAGAGGAUGGCCAGCCACACUGGAACUGAGACACGGUCCAG